RNAcentral lists this transfer RNA (93 nucleotides) under Fusarium equiseti. RNAcentral describes it as "tRNA-Trp". It matches the Rfam family "tRNA". Rfam says of the family: Transfer RNA (tRNA) molecules are approximately 80 nucleotides in length. Their secondary structure includes four short double-helical elements and three loops (D, anti-codon, and T loops). The record is from RNAcentral. Lineage: Eukaryota; Fungi; Ascomycota; Sordariomycetes; Hypocreales; Nectriaceae.
GGGGCGCUGGCGCAAUUGGUAGCGCGUCAGAUUCCAGCUCAUACAGAGUGAGGUGAUUCCUGAAGGUUAUCCGUUCGAUUCGGGUGUGCCUCA